RNAcentral lists this ribosomal RNA (166 nucleotides) under uncultured Serratia sp. RNAcentral describes it as "partial 16S ribosomal RNA". It matches the Rfam family "Bacterial small subunit ribosomal RNA", at positions 366 to 523 of the family's 1533-position model. The record is from RNAcentral. Lineage: Bacteria; Pseudomonadati; Pseudomonadota; Gammaproteobacteria; Enterobacterales; Yersiniaceae.
AUACAAGGGGCGCAGCCUGAUGCAGCCAUGCCGCGUGAUGUGAAGAAGGCCUUCGGGUUGUAAAGCACAUUUCAGCGAGGAGGAAGGGUUCAGUGUUAAUAGCACUGUGCAUUGACGUUACUCGCAGAAGAAGCACCGGCUAACUCCGUGCCAGCAGCCGCGGUAA